AGAGUUUGAUCCUGGCUCAGGAUGAACGCUGGCGGCGUGCCUAACACAUGCAAGUCGAACGGAGUUGUUAUCAUGAAGUCUUCGGAUGGAAUGGUAAUAACUUAGUGGCGGACGGGUGAGUAACACGUAGGUAAUCUACCCUUCAGAGGAGGACAACCUCAGGAAACUGAGGCUAAACCUUCAUACGUUCACUGGUAGGGAUACUGGUGAAGAAAGAGUUACCUUAGUGGUAGCUGCUGAAGGAUGAGCCUGCGGCCCAUCAGGUAGUUGGUGAGGUAACGGCUCACCAAGCCGAAGACGGGUAACCGGUCUGAGAGGAUGUCCGGUCACACUGGGACUGAGACACGGCCCAGACUCCUACGGGAGGCAGCAGCAGGGAAUCUUGGGCAAUGGGCGAAAGCCUGACCCGGCGACGCCGCGUGGAGGAAGAAGUCCUUCGGGGCGUAAACUCCUGGACUGGGGGACGAGGAAGGACGGUACCCCAGUAGAAAGGGACGGCUAACUACGUGCCAGCAGCCGCGGUAAAACGUAGGUCCCGAGCGUUGUUCGGAUUCACUGGGUGUAAAGGGCGCGUAGGUGGUUGUCUGUGUCUCAUGUGAAAACUCAGGGCUCAACUCUGAGAUUGCGUGGGAAACUAGGCAGCUAGAGGACGGUAGAGGGGAGUGGAAUUCCCGGUGUAGCGGUAAAAUGCGUAGAUAUCGGGAGGAACACCGGUGGCGAAGGCGGCUCUCUGGGCCGAUCCUGACGCUGAGGCGCGAAAGCUAGGGGAGCGAACCGGAUUAGAUACCCGGGUAGUCCUAGCCGUAAACGAUGGGUGCUAGGUGUUGGGGGGUAAAGACCCUUCAGUGCCGAAGCCAACGCGAUAAGCAUCCCACCUGGGGAGUACGGCCGCAAGGUUGAAACUCAAAUGAAUUGACGG
This 919-nucleotide ribosomal RNA is filed under the name uncultured bacterium. RNAcentral describes it as "bacterial SSU rRNA". It matches the Rfam family "Bacterial small subunit ribosomal RNA", at positions 8 to 916 of the family's 1533-position model. The record is from RNAcentral.